UAAAUUGAAGGGUACAACUGGAGAAAUCCAGUGUCACAAAGCUAUAGGGGCUAAUGAUUGGAUUCAUCCGGUCGAUGUCAGCCAGCUGCCAUU
This 93-nucleotide non-coding RNA is filed under the name Fictibacillus arsenicus. RNAcentral's name for it is "c-di-GMP sequence". It matches the Rfam family "c-di-GMP-I riboswitch aptamer". Rfam says of the family: GEMM was predicted in a large-scale screen for bacterial structured RNA regulatory elements. Genes associated with GEMM are involved in a diverse array of functions, including chemotaxis regulation, signal transduction, secretion and chitin. Lineage: Bacteria; Bacillati; Bacillota; Bacilli; Caryophanales; Fictibacillaceae. The record is from Rfam by way of RNAcentral.